UAGGGAAUCUUCCGCAAUGGACGCACGUCUGACGGAGCAACGCCGCGUGAGUGAAGAAGGAUUUCGGUUCGUAAAACUCUGUUGUUAGAGAAGAACAGCGCAUAGAGUAACUGUUAUGCGUGUGACGGUAUCUAACCAGAAAGCCACGGCUAACUACGUGCCAGCAGCCGCGGUAAUACGUAGGUGGCAAGCGUUGUCCGGAUUUAUUGGGCGUAAAGCGAGCGCAGGCGGUCAAUUAAGUCUGAUGUGAAAGCCCCCGGCUCAACCGGGGAGGGUCAUUGGAAACUGGUUGACUUGAGUGCAGAAGAGGAGAGUGGAAUUCCAUGUGUAGCGGUGAAAUGCGUAGUUAUAUGGAGGAACACCAGUGGCGAAGGCGACUCUCUGGUCUGUAACUGACGCUGAGGCUCGAAAGCGUGGGUAGCAAACAGG
RNAcentral lists this ribosomal RNA (429 nucleotides) under Bacteroidota bacterium. RNAcentral's name for it is "Bacteroidetes bacterium partial 16S ribosomal RNA". It matches the Rfam family "Bacterial small subunit ribosomal RNA", at positions 355 to 776 of the family's 1533-position model. The record is from RNAcentral. Lineage: Bacteria; Pseudomonadati; Bacteroidota.